GCCAGCGCCUCGGUCCUCUGGGUUGCGAAGUGUCAGAUCUGACUCAGUCCCAGGGUCUUGGCGCGGCUGAACGCCUCUAGGGUGGCAGAGGGCCUUUUCUUUUCAUGUCGCGCCACACCACAAGAUAGCCAGUGCCUCCCUAUGGCGGCUGCCUGGCUCUGCUACACAAGGUGACUGCGUAUAACCUUGUGUGAUCCUCUACCCUGGAAUCCAAACUGGACCCUUGACUUCACUGAGCCGGCAGAAGAAUGUAGUGAAGAGAUAAUGGGUCAGUUCCAGCUCUGACCUUAACUUUUUGUUGUUUGCUUUGGGUUUUAUUUAUUUAUUUUUUUCUGGAGAUGCUCCUGCUCUUCCAGCUGGGAAAGAUUCGUGCAGAGGACAAGUGGAGAGGAAAUGCCCCAGGCAUUUGAACCUUGUGAGCCCUUCCUAACUGGAAGAAUAUACCUGUGCAGAUACUUCGGAAUUUGGACAUCUGUUUCUGGGAAGGAAAGAAAACCUCAAAUGCACCUAUGGGAGUUUUCUGAGUAUCCUGAGGGUACAGGAGUCUAAGAACAUCUUCUCAGACCUGCCCCAGUUGCAGGCUCAGGUCCUGACCUUCCCCCUCUGGUAGAACUGAAGCACACAGCAGCCUCGCUCCAGCUCCAAACACUCUAGCACUGGGCAAGCACUGGACAAGCACUGGGUUCUAGUCUUCACAUUUAUCUGUCUCCUCUCCUCUUCCCACCACCACCCCCUGCAGUGUCCUAGCUCCUGCCUGUGGACAGGAAAGUAAGUGCUUAGCUUCUGCUCCAGUACCACGUCUGCCUGCCUGCCUGCCACCACACUUCCUGCCAUGAUGAUCACAGAUUCGCCCUCUGAAA
Molecule: long non-coding RNA, 860 nt
Organism: Microtus ochrogaster (prairie vole)
Lineage: Eukaryota; Metazoa; Chordata; Mammalia; Rodentia; Cricetidae
Source: RefSeq, a predicted model, not a curated record